This 22036-nucleotide long non-coding RNA is filed under the name Lactuca sativa (garden lettuce). Its description in RNAcentral is "long non-coding RNA (LSAT_LNC004158)". The record is from RNAcentral. Lineage: Eukaryota; Viridiplantae; Streptophyta; Magnoliopsida; Asterales; Asteraceae.
AGUCAUAAUACAUAGUGAUGAGAAACAAACAUAAUACAUAGUGAUGAGAAACAAACAUAAUACAUAGUGAUGAGAAAUACACGUAAUACAUAGUGAUGAGAAACAAACAUAAUACAUAGUGAUGAGAAACAAACAUACAUGCUAGACAGAGAAAGAACACACAAUACAGCUAGCACAUACAUUACAUAUACUUUACGUUCAGUUAUGUGAGCCAUUAAAUGGAUCAUGGCACUACCUUCCAUGACCAUUUUUGUAUCCAAAAUCUCCUUAAUUGGGGAGCGUAUGAGUUUGCAUAUAGAUCUAUACUGGAUUGACUAUCCUACACCUUGUUGCUCGCUACAGUGGGACUUGCAAGUCUACGGGUGCCAAAUGUCAUUUCUUACGGCGUCUUACAUCGUCGUUUUACUAUUGGUCGGUAGCAGGGUAUAGGCCGAUCACAUGGAACUUUAAAUAACAAUUGGUUUAAGGUACUUAGUACAGUAGUAGUUACUUAAUACAACACUACAGUACUAUAAUAUUUAUCCCAUUACAUUCACUUCGUGAACAUUCACACGAUGCACGGUAAUGUAAAAACUAUAUUUUUGGUUAAUGAUAGUCGGAUUUGGGAAAAUACACACUCUUACAAGAGACACACACAGUUACUAGAUGCCUUGGUAGAAGGCUACUCUUAGUAGGAAACAUAGGGUUUUCUAGGAUAGUUCAAACAAAUACAAACAUUACAAAACUUAUACAUUACAUCUUACAAACAUCUUACAAAUGCUUUCAUACAAACUCAGACACUAAUAUACUUAUGAUCUCACCAGCUUUAAAGGUGAUACUCGCUUUCAAAAUAACUUGUAUUCUCAGGUCACCAGUAGACAGGUACCGGUGCCAGGUUUUUGAGAAGAUGGAGCUUGUUCAAGACUCCUCUUUUAUUUUGAUGUACUUUUUGGUGUCUAUAUAACUUGACAGAACACACUUGUAUGAAAUUAUAUUAUUAAUGCAAUGGAUGAUGUUGUUGCUUGUUUACUACUUUGCAUUGUUGUGAUACUAUACAUGACGUCCUCCACCCCCGAACGAUUCCGCCGUUCAGGUUUUGGGGUGUGACAUAUUGGUAUCAGAGCAUUGUUUAUAGUGAAUUGAGUGUAUCAACCCAUAAAAGAUAUACGAACUAUAAAAACAAGCGGGAUUAAAAUACUCUGAUUAAGAGUUAUACUUAAAAUAAUAAAAUAUUUAACUAAGUAUACAUACCUGCAUUCAUACUAAAAUCAGUGUCACUAGGACAUAACAAAAGUAUUACGAUUAUUGGACAACACACGUAGACUUAGAGACAUAUGGUUAACCCUGGGAAGAUGUAGCAUGAUCAACUACAUUAUCCGAAGAGUAACUAGAAUGUGCCUAAGGAUGGUUGUGAGGUUGCAACAAGUCUAAAAACUUACCAACACUACCACAAUAAGAACAAUAGAACAUAACAUUAAACUUAAAAUACUAUAGGAGUGUUUUGUGUUAGUAUAAUUACUUAUCUGAGAACUAAAGGUCUUUAUUGGUAUGCCCUGGACAAGUGUUGGAGUAACUGAUAAAGAUCACCUUAUAAUUAUCUAGUUAGCUCUUCUAUUAGUUUAUUUCCUUACCCCUUUUCUCGCAUAGAUAUCAUGGCUGGAUUCCAUCAUCAUGACGACCUGUACUUUCCACCCAACGACAAUGCUGGAUGGCUUGAAGCAGAGUCCGAUGAUGAGCAUCAAAUCCCUUUGGAUGAUCAUCAAGCUGAAGGCUUCUCGGAUGGAUCUGACUUCGAGCCCGAAGUCAACAACCUACCUCAAUUAGGUCAAGCCCCGAAUAACAACCCUCAAACCGCAUUUCAAGGACCCACACCUAUGUGGGCAACAAACUUGAAUACAUGGAGCCAUGAACAGGGUCAACCCAUUCCCUACAAUCGAGAUAGAAGUUUCUAUAACCUCACUGAUGGAGGUUCUGCUCACAGAGUCCUACCCAUCAUGGUUCGUAGGAUUUCUCGAAACACGAUACUGGGUCAACCAUCUAUCAAUCGAGUCUUGGAGAUUGACGCCAACACUAGUGUUAACACUGUCCGCAUUCGCCAACUAGAGUCUGCUCAUGAAAGGGUUCUGGUUCACAAUGCAGCUCUUCGGAGGGAACUCGCUGAAACCCGAGCUGAAGUCAGAGAACUUCGAGCUCAACAGGCAAGAGCUGAUAGGCGCAUGAGGGACAUAGAACGUCUUCUGUCGGGAUCAAGAACUCACACUGGUAGUUCUCGUCGCCGAUAGAUUCUCAUCAAUUUCUCUCUUUUGGAUAUAACCUAGUCAUGUAAAACUUUGGUCUAAUCCCCUAUCUUUGUAAAUCAUAGGCCUGUUAGGUCUUGAUUAGGUUUUAAUACUGUCAAAAUUUUCCAAUUUUGGUUGAUGUAAGGCCUCUUUCUGUUGGCCGUUUUUCCUGAACUUGUUACAUCUAUAAUUCCAGUAAUAUUGACAAGUACCUAAUCUUAUGGGAAUUAUUAUCCAAAUGUGAUCAUCUAUUAGUUCUAAGAUUUCCAUUCAAUCGUAUCGUUGAGAUAUGGAGAGUUAGUCCAUGAGUCAUUCUCAUCAAUUCUUCCAUUGAAAUCUUAUCAAUGUUUUUAUCUUCAUAAACUAUAAAUCAAAGAUGCCGCCUCACAGAAAUCCAAGGAGAAACCCUAAUAACGAAACACCACCUCCUCCACCUCCUCAACCACCUACUCCUUAGUUCGACACGAUAGCCUUAAAUGCUGCUAUCGCUGCAGCGGUGGCUACACCCAUGGCUCAGUAUCAUUCAUCUGGUUCCACUGGAGGAGGAACCCCUGUUCAAUCUAUUCAGGUUGAAGCUCCGGUGCGCUCGAGAGAGUGCUCCUAUAAGGACUUCACGAACUGCAAGCCAUUGUCCUUCAAGGGGACUGGCAGAGUCAUUUCCCUCUCGCAAUGGUUCGAGAAAACCGAAUCGGUUUUCGAAAUCUUCUCUUGUUCCGAGGAGAGCAAGGUGAAGUUCGCUGCUUGCACCUUCGAAACUAAAGCCCUAACAUGGUGGAACGGCCAUGUUAAGUCACUAUCUCUUAUAGUGGCUAAUGCUAUGGGCUGGGAAACUUUGAAAGACCUCAUGAUUGAGGAGUACUGCCUGAGGGGCGAGAUCCAAAAGCUGGAGGAAGAGCUAUGGAGCCUAACCAUGGAGGGCUCCAACGUAGUCGCCUACACCGCUAGGUUCUGUGAACUGGUGGCCCUCUGUCCCAACAUGAUUCCUUCAGAGGGAAAGAAGAUCAAGAGAUACAUAUGGGGACUGGUGCCCCCAUACCAGGGAAAUGUUUUGACAUCACACCCCACUACAUUUGAUAGUGCCAAGCGAUUGGCAUAGCGGCUCAUAGACCAUGGGGUUCGUACCCCGGCCGCAACAACUACCCUGGCCAUCUCAGAACCUGCAAGAACCGCUGACUCCAAGCGGAAUUUUUGGGAUGAAAAGAAGAAGGAAAAGGCUGCCAAGAAGAGGCAGGUCGUGGCAGUACAUGCUGUGAUAGCACCUGCCGCUGCUGCUCCGAUAAAGCAGUACGCUGGAAGUUUGCCUAAGUGCAACAAAUGCAACUUCCAUCACGUCGGUGCCUGCCGGGAAAUGCAGUGUAUGAACUGCAACAAGAAGGCGCACACUGCCCAUUUUUGUAAAGCUCCGGUGAAGCCAAUCAACCAAGUCCCCGGUGCUGGAGUGGGCUAAGCUUGCUACGGAUGUGGCGAGGUAGGCCACUACAAAAGAAACUACCCGAAGGCAGGGAUUGCCGGUGGAGUGACAAGAGUCCUGGCCACAGGCCAUGAGGAAGCGGUAGCCGACUCCACAGUGGUCACUAGUAUGUUCCUCCUAGAUAACGCUUAUGCAUGCAUUCUAUUUGAUAGUGGAGCGGAGAGAAGUUUCGUGAACCAAAAGUUUGCUCAAUUACUUAAGCAAAAAUCACGAGCACUUAAUGAACCGUUCACUGUAGAAAUGGCUAAUGGAAAGAUAGAGAGCACUAGCAGUAUAUUCAUAGGGUGUAACCUAACUUUAGAUAGUCAUUCAUUUUAUAUCGAUCUCAUGCCGGUCUCAAUUAAAAGUUUCGACGCCAUUAUCGACAUAGAUUGGUUGAGUCUUCAUCAUGCCGAUAUCAUGUGUUACGAAAAGGAUGUUCGCCUUAAUCUGCUGUCUGGCGAAACCUUAGUAAUUUAUGGCGACAAACCCGACACGAACCUUUGUAUCAUCUCGAGCAUCCAAGCUCAGAAAUUCUUGCGAAAGGAAUGUCGUGUAUUCCUUGCUCAUGUGGUCGAUGUGAGACAAGAAACGAAGGACAUUCAGAACAUUCCAGUAGUACGCGACUUUCCCGACAUCUUUCCAGAAGAACUCCCAGGAUUACCUCCGCAACGUCAAGUCGAGUUCCNGUCCCAGGGGCUCCCCCAGUAGCCAAAUCGCCCUAUCGUCUAGCACCCGCAGAGAUGCAAGAACUGUCCGGUCAACUUAACGAAUUGCUCAGCAAGGGCUUUAUAACACCAAGCUUCUCACUUUUAGGGAGCUCCAGUCUUGUUCGUCAAGAAGAAAGACGGAUCGUUUCGCAUGUGCAUUGACUACAGGGAGCUCAACAAGCUGACCAUCAAAAAUCGUUAUCCGUUGCCUCGUAUCGACGACUUAUUUGAUCAACUUCAAAGGGCGAACUUCUUUUCAAAAAUCGACUUGAGAUCCGUAUAUCACCAACUACGAGUGCUAGGGGAGGAUGUUCCAAAGACAACCUUCCGAACUCGUUAUGGGCACUACGAAUUUGUAGUGAUGCCGUUCGGAUUGACAAAUGCGCCCGUAGUAUUCAUGGACUUAAGGAAUAGGGUGUGUCAUCCUUACUUGGAUCAGUUCGUCAUCGUCUUCAUCGAUGACAUACUUAUCUACUCUCGAAGUAAGGAGGAGCAUAGUCAACAUCUACGUCAAGUCCUCGAAACAUUACGUUCGGAGAAACUCUACGCGAAGUUCUUGAAAUGCGAAUUUUGGAUUCGACGAGUCGAAUUCUUAGGGCACAUGGUUAGCAAAGAGGGUAUACAUGUGGAACCUUCCAAAAUCAAGGCCAUUGAGAACUGGUCAGGACCGAAGAUGCCUACCGAAAUUCGUCAAUUUCUAGGCCUCGCUGGUUGUUAUGGCAGGUUCAUUCAGCACUUCUCCCGCAUAGCGAAACCUAUUACAACACUGACCCAGAAGGGCGUGGCCUUUGACUAGGAAGAGAAGCAGGAGAGAGCGUUCCAAACGCUCAAAUGGGCCUUGUGCACCGCACCAAUACUAUCCCUCCCUGAAGGGAUAGAAGACUUCGUAGUUUAUUGCGAUGCAUCGAAUCAAGGGCUCGGAUGUGUUCUGAUGCAGCGAGGUAAGGUCAUCGCCUAUGCUUUGAGAUAGCUGAAGACACAUGAGGUCAACUACACGACCUACGAUCUUGAACUAGGACCAGUUGUGUUUGCUCUGAAGAUCUGGAGACAUUACUUGUACGUAACGAAGAGCAAUAUCUUUACAGACCACAAGAGCUUACAACACAUCUUCGACCAGAAGGAGCUCAACAUGAGACAACGACGGUGGGUCGAGCUACUCAGUGAUUACGAAUGCGAAAUUCGUUAUCAUCCGGUAAAGCCAACGUAGUAGCUGACACCUUGAGUCGGAAGGAAUAUUUUGGUCGUAGAGUCAAAUCAUUGACUAUGACUAUCCAUUCACACUUUUCCACACAAAUUAAGGCAGCUCAGCUCGAUGCUUUGAAGCCUGAAAAAUGUGGCGGGUGAAUCCCUAAGAGGGAUGGAUAAGAACUUGGAGGUUAAGGGUGGCGGAGCUUAUUAUUUCAUGGACCGGAUCUGGACCCCGAAACUAGGAGGUUUCAGAGACUUGGUCAUGCACGAGGCGCACAACACAUGUUAUUCCGUGCACCCGGGUUUAGAUAAGAUGUAUCUGGAUCUCAAAAAGUUAUACUGGUGGCCUAACAUGAAAGCAGAGAUUGCUACCUUCGUAGGUAAAUGCCUUACUUGCGCAAAGGUCAAGGUCAAAUAUCAGAAACCCUACGGUCUACUACAACAGCCUAAGAUACCGGAAUGGAAGUGGGAGCGGAUAACUAUGGAUUUCAUAACCAAGUUGCCCAAGACUGACCAAGUCUGCACACUUCUUGCCGAUCAAAGAAACAGACAAGAUGGAGAAACUUACAAGAACUUACAUUAGGUAGAUUGUAAGACUGCACAGUGUUCUCUUAUCCAUUAUCUCGGACAGAGAUAGUAGAUUCACUUCGAGGUUCUGGCAGUUGUUACAAAGUUCCUUAGGAACUAGGCUGGACAUGAGUACAACCUACCAUCCACAGACCGACGGGUAAAGUGAGAGAACUAUUCAAACCUUGGAAGACAUGUUGCGAGCCUGUGUGAUUGACUUUGGGAAAGCAUGGGAUACUCAUUUACCCCUUGUCGAAUUUUCCUACAACAACAGUUAUCAAACGAGCAUAAAGGCUGCUCCAUUCGAGGCCCUCUAUGGCCGAAAGUGCAGGUCCCCUCUGUGCUGGACUGAGGUAGGUGAUAACCAGUUAGCUAAAGGACGAAUUCCUGACAGUGCUCUCACAGGUCCGGAAAUCAUACGGGAUACGACGGAGAAGAUCGUUCAGAUCCGCGAAUGAUUGAAAGCCUCCAGAGACCGACAGAAAAGCUACGCUGAUAAACGUAGGAAACCAUUGGAAUUCCAGGUGGGCGACCGUGUUCUAUUGAAAGUCUCACCCUGGUAGGGCUUGAUACGCUUCGGAAAGCGUGGAAAGCUAAAUCCAAGGUACAUAGGGCCUUUCGAGAUUCUCGCAAGAAUCGGCCCUGUAGCUUACAAACUUAACUUACCGCGCAAACUUAGUAACGUACAUUAUACCUUCCACAUAUCGAACUUGAAAAAGUGUCUGUCCGAAGAGACUCUUGUUAUUCCACUCGACGAGAUCGAGAUAAACGAGAGCCUGAACUUCGUGGAGGAACCAGUAGAGAUCAUGGACCGGGAGGUCAAGCAAACGAAACAAAGCCGUAUCCCGAUAGUGAUGGUUCGCUGGAAUGCCAAGCGAGGACCGUAAUUCACUUAGGAGCGUGAGGAUCAGAUGAAACUGAAAUAUCCUCGUCUUUUUACUUAGUUAUUUGUAACUACUUAUCUGCUUAAUUUCUAAUUUCGGGAGAAAAUUCCUUCUAAGGAGGGGAUGAUGUGACAACCUGAAAUUUCUAUUAUGUACAAACAAUAUCAAGUGAAUAGAAGUUAGAACAGUUGCAGUAAGUUUUCAGACUUUUAGUAUAAGUUUGAGUAUUUCAGGAUUUUACACUUAAAGAGAUAUCAGGAGAGAGGAUGCACUAGGGUUUUGUGCAACUCUGUUAUUCCGAAACUCUAUGAUAUUAGAGUUCACUGCCUGAAUAAAAUAUUUUCUGCCAAAAACCACUGGGGUAUAUAUAUAUAUAUGGUUCUUAACCAUAUUUAUUCAUUUGUUACAUUUCCAACUAGAGAAAAGCCAAAUUCUCUCUCACAGAUCUUCAACCUUUCGUCCCAAAUCAUGAGUACUUCUAUCUAAGUGUAUUAUAGAGCUUAAUAUGUGUCUAAUAACCUAGAAAUCGUAUCAAAACAACAAGAUCAAAGAGUUUACGGCCCAAGAACAUCUUGGACCGUAAACCCUUCUUUAAGGGACAAAUGAGUGCCCUAGUCCCUUCCUUUUGCAAUGAAACUGGCCUAGACUCGUAUCCUAAUGUAUGUAGGACUAGAAAACACCCCAAGAACACCAAGAGUAAGGUGUUCACGGCCCAAGAAGUUCUUGGACCGUGAACUCCAAACAAAAGGGCCAAACUGUGCUUUAAACUCUCCAUAAGCCUUGGACACUAGCCUAGAUUCAUUCCUAGUUAAAUUAGGGACUUGAAAUCACCAAAAACACCAUACCCAUGAGAGAUUACGGCCGUAAUAUCUAAGGGAUUUGGUUCUAGGUCCGUAAACUCCUCAAAGGAGUUGAAAGGUGCCCUAAUCUCUUCCAAAGACUUUACAAUCAAGUAGAAAUGCUUCUAAGGGAUAUGUAAGACUUCAAAACACCAAAUAAUCUAAGGCCUAGGAGCUUACGACCGUAAACUCAAGAGUUUACGACCGUAAACUCAUUGUUGUUAUGGUCUUGGAGAGUUGAUAUGGGCUUAUUUAGUCAUAGAAAUCAUUCAUUAUCUUAUUAAUUAUUGUUGAUUUUAUAUCAUUUUAUGGACAAAAGGUACUUAAUUAGCUUAAUAUUUCAAUUUCAGCAAUAAAAGACAUGCUUGGAUGAAAAAGGAAGAGGAUUGAGUGAUUGGAAGCUUGGAGAUCAAGGAUUAAAGGAAGAAGCUAAGUAAAAGAAGAAAAUCGACGAGUUUUUAGCAUAAACUCGACGAGUUUAUUAGAAUAUUCUAGAUUUAAGGAUGCCUUGCCGUACACGCUAAACGCGCGAAUUAUUAAAGAAACUCGUCGAGUUAUUCUCAAAAACUCGACGAGUUGGGUCGAUUUUUGGAAACUAUAAAUAGAUAACUUAUAGGCCCGAAAACCUAACUUUUGCUGGAGGCUAGCUGCGAUUUUUGAAGAUCAGAAGGGUUCUUGGAGCUGCUAUUUUCGAGAUUGCAACCUAAGAAACAAUUUCAAAGAGAAUCAAAGGCAAAUAAUCAUUCUUCUUUUCUUAAUCUUUGUUUUGAACCAUGUUUGAAUCAUUAGAUUUUGAUUUUAGGUUAUUACUUGCUGUAGAUAUGAGCUAAAAGCUUUUUACUUCUGUUUGGAUGAGAUAAUCUUAUGAACAUGGUUUGAUUGAGUGGUUGAAUUGAUAUUAAUUUGGUUAUUCAUCUUGUUAAGCUUAUUAAAGAUCCUUAUGUAUUGAUGAUAAAUGUUUUUAGUUAACAAAUAAGUGAUUGAGUUGCAUGAAUAUCUUCUUGAUUACUUGAUUCAUAUAGUUUUAUGAAUAUAAGAUUGUAUGCCUAGGAAUAGUGAAUAUGAAACUAGGGUUAACUAUAAAAUAUGUAAAUCAAUGUGUGAGCAUGUGUGAUGAACAUCUAUACAUGAGUUGAUUGAAUUGAACAAAUUUAAUUAACUAUUAUUAUAAGUCUUGCUUGAUACGAACUGAACACUAGGAAACUUGUUAAUUUAAUCACUUGAUCACUGUUUGAAUUAACUUGUCUACUAAAGGAUUGGUAAUAAUGAACAUGAACCCAAUCAUAUUAGGAAUCGGUAACCAUUGAUGUAUUAAUUCAUUGCACUUGCCACGAAAUCAACCAUAGGAAUAAGUGAAUCGAAUCUAAACAGAAGUCUCUUUUAUUAUUGAAUCUAGUUGUCCUUUCUUAUUCUUCUUAGUUGUUAAUUGUCUUUGUUUGAAAGUUAAUUGAUUGAUAAGUUUCUAGUCUUGCAAAACUAGAGAAAACCCCCCUCUUUUAUUAAUUGUUUUUAAUUAGGUAAUACUAGUACUUAAUUUGAUUGUUACCGUUCCCUGUGUUCGAUACCCUACUUGCUUAAACUAAACUACUAUCGAUAGGUACACUGCCUGCGUGUGUUUGUUUACAUUUGAGUUUGUUAGGAUUAAAACUAGUUCGUUUUACACACAUCAAGUUUUUGGCGCCGUUGCCGGGGAACGGUUCUAAUAAUUAUAUUGUUUGCUGGUAUUAUCGAUCCUUUGUGUUAGAUCUUUCUUGCAUAAAGUUAUAUGUUUUCAGUUCUUAUUGAUUUUCUAUAGUUUUGCAUUAAACUCGUCGAGUUUAUUCUUCUGUUAACAGUUUCAUAAAUUCUUCGUUUUUUGUUCGUUUUACGCUUGUUUUUCUGUUUUAUUUUAGGUUUUUUAUGACCCGAGGCUCCAGUUGUACACCAAUACCACCCGUAGACAAUCCGGAGUUGAUUAUUCGCAAACAAAGAGGAAAAGGGAUCGAGUCUGACACAUCCACGUUUGGUGAAGAAAGCAAUCCCGAUCAAGGAGGUAAUAUGGCCGACAUCGCCGACAUACCGAUGGGAGAUUAGUAGAAGCGCAUAAGAGAUGGUACCGGGCCGGGACUCAUGCAACCUGCAAUUCCAGCUACCGCCAAUUUUGAGUUGAAGGGUCACAUCCUUGCACAACUAAAAGACAUUCCAUUCCAUGGAAAGGAGCACGAAGAUGCCUACAAGCAUAUUGAAGAAGUUAUGGACAUUGCUGACUAUUUCCAUAUGCCAAAUGUGCCUUGCGAUACUGUCUUACUACGGAUGUUACCGGUUACAUUCAAAGGAGCCGCGAAGGAAUGGUUGAAAUCUUUACCCCCGGAUCCAUUACAACAUGGCAAAAGAUGCGUGAGGAGUUCAUUGACCAGUUUUAUCCACCUUCUAAGAUUGCAAAAUUGAAGAAAGAAAUUGCUAACUUUGAGCAAUUGCCGGGAGAAUCACUCUAUGAGGCGUGGGAAAGAUAUAAGGGGUUAAUAAGAAAUUGCCCUCAAAAUGACCUAAACGUCCAACAAGAGGUUUCUAUCUUUUAUGAUGGCGUGAACGUCACAACUAGGCAAUUAUUAGACUCCCAAGGACCCCUCACGAAGAAAGCACCAGCUGUCAUUAAAACAUUAGUGGAAGAAUUCUCCAAACAUUCAAGAGAAUACCAUAAUCUAAGGAACGAUACAGCUAGAGGCGUGGAUAACUCAGUUUCCGAUGACAUGGCAGCAAUGAUGGCCAAACUAGAAAGUAUGGAUCGUAGGAUGACAAAGAUGGAUCAAUCCAUCCAUGCCAUAAGGGUGGGUUGUGACAAUUGUAGCGGUCCCCAUCUUACUAAGGAUUGCGAUCUUGAUGAGAACGACAACUGGAAGGUACAAGUUUGUUAUUCGAGUGGCGAUAGGUUUGAUGAUGAUUGGCGAAAGCCCAAGAAGGAAUGGCUCCCCUACGACGAGUACAAGAAGGAAAAGGAGGAAAAGUAUAGGAAAAAAGCAUGCGGGUUUUAUCAAAAAGAAGAACCGGCGCAAGAGAAGAAAAAGGAUCUUGAAGCUAUGUUAACUCGAUUCGUUAGUGCUUCCGAGAAAAGGCACGACGAAUCCGAUGCAGCCAUUAGAGAUCAACAAAAGAUGGUGAAGGAGCACCAAACCAUGAUGAUGGAUCAACAAGCUCUGCUCCGGAAUCAGCAAGCUUCAAUCUUGAAUAUUGAAAAACAGCUUGGGCAACUUGCCAAGCAAUUCAACGAAAGAACACCAGGCGGGCUUCCUAGUGACACGGAAAAAAAUCCAAAGGGAGCGCAUAUUAACAUAGUGACAACAAGGAGUGGGAAGAUAGUCACACCCCUCACUCCAAUCCCAAGUACAGAUCAAAAAGAGGCAAAAGAAAAAGAUCAAGAAAAUCCGAAUUCGCCAACAGUAGAUAAAACUCGUUGAGUUCCUGACAGAAACUCGACGAGUUCCGCACCUGAUGAGCAAAAUAAUUCAAAAGCUGAGCCAUUUAAGCCACCAUUACCAUUCCCGGGUCAAGCUCGCCAAGAGAAACAGAAUGAAGACUACCAGAAGUUCUUGGAGCACAUAAAGGCCUUACAAAUCAACAUUCCAUUCAUUAAAGCAGUCACACAAAUGCCAAAGUAUGCAAAGUUCCUAAAAGAACUUCUCACAAAUAGAAAGAAGGUGGAGGAAGCAUACAAGGUAGUCUUAAAUGAGAACUGUUCAACCGCAAUGUUAAACAAAUUACCAAAGAAAAAAGGUGAUCCGGGUAGCCUAACCAUUCCUUGCCAAUUUGGGAAUUUAGCCACUAGCUAUGCAUUGGCCGAUUCGGGGGCAAGUGUGAACCUCAUGCCAUACUCUUUCUUUAAAAAGCUAAACCUUCCGGAACCAAGACCAAUCCGUAUGGCGAUCCACUUAGCAAACAAGACGGUGACAUUCCCGAGAGGUAGAUGUGAAGAUUUAUUGGUAAAAGUCGAUAAGUUUGUCUUUCCGGCAGAUUUCAUUGUGCUAGAUAUGGAGGAGGACCAUCAAGUGCCAAUAAUCCUUGGAAGACCAUUCUUGAAUACCGUGGGUGCCAUAGUAGACAUACGAGACUCAAGGCUUACCCUUCGAGUGGGGGAAGACUCAGUUAUUUUUGGAAUGGAUCAAGCCAUGAAACAUUCGAAGUGUAGUUAUGAUACUGUCUUUUCAGUAGAUGUCUUGGAAGAAUUAUUAGAAGAAUGGAAAGAAGACGAAGCAAGCGAACACAUGUCGACUUCAGAAGAUGAUUUUGAUGCUGAGAGAGAUUUGAAAGAAUUAGAAAGACUUCUUGAAGAAUCAGAAUACGAAGAAUUGAUAAAGUCAAUAGAACAAAAAACUCGACGAGUUAAUCACAAUAACUCGACGAGUUUCUACGAAAAAUCAGGAUAUGAGGAAACUUUUGUUCUAAACUCGUCGAGUUUAAUUCCAGAAAUCGACGUGUUUGGUGUUCAGAGCACACAAUUGGAGCUGAAAACGUUACCAGAACACUUAGAAUACGCAUUUCUCGAAGAAGGUGAACAGAAGCCUGUGAUCAUUGCAUCGGACCUCACCCCAAUUGAAAAAGAUCAAUUAGUGAAGGUUUUGAAGAAAAGAAAGAACGACAUUGCAUGGAAAAUCACCGACAUAAAGGGGAUAAGCCCCUCUUAUUGUUCUCAUAAAAUAAUUCUUGAAGAAGGAGCAACGCCAGUGGUGCAACAUCAAAGGCGUUUGAACCCAAAUAUGCAAGAGGUAGUUAAGAAGGAGGUGGUAAACCUAUUGGAUGCGAGGAUCAUUUAUUCAAUUUCCGAUAGCCUGUGGGUAAGUCCCAUUCAAGUAGUGCCGAAGAAAGGAGGAAUGACAGUCGUGGCGAACGAAAAGAACGAGCUUAUUCCUACGCGAACGGUAACCGGUUGGCGAGUAUGCAUCGAUUAUCGAAAGCUAAACGAUGCUACUUGCAAAGACCAUUUCCCUUUACCCUUUAUUGAUCAAAUGCUUGAAAGAUUAUCCGGUCAUUACUAUUAUUGUUUUUUAGAUGGGUUUACAGGUUAUUUCCAAAUACCAAUUGAUCUGAAUGAUCAAGAGAAAACUACCUUCACGUGCCCUAGUGGAACGUUUGCAUACCGACGAAUGCCUUUUGGGUUGUGCAAUGCGCCUACCACUUUUCAACGAUGCAUGACGGCAAUAUUUCAUGAUAUGGUGAGGAAGUAUAUGGAAGUAUUCAUGGAUGAUUUUUCCGUGUUUGGUUCUUCUUUUGAUAAUUGUCUUACUAACCUUGACUUAAUGCUUGCCAGGUGUGAAAAGACCAAUUUAGUUUUGAAUUGGGAAAAAUGCCAUUUCAUGGUUAAAGAAGGCAUUGUGUUAGGUCAUAAAGUGUCCAAGGCGGGGAUUGAGGUGGAUCGAGCGAAAAUUGACACCAUUGCUAAAUUACCACCACCAACCAAUGUGAAGGGCGUUAGAAGUUUUUUGGGUCACGCGGGUUUUUACCGUCGUUUUAUCAAAGACUUUUCUAAAAUAACUCGACCUUUAACUCAGCUACUUUUAAAAGAUGCACCUUUUAAUUUUUCAACAGAAUGUUUAAAUGCUUUUGAAAUAUUGAAAACAAAAUUAACUAACGCCCCGAUCAUUAUCGCCCCGAAUUGGAAUUUACCGUUUGAAAUUAUGUGCGAUGCAAGUGAUUUUGCCUUAGGUGCUGUGCUUGGUCAAAGAGUCGAUAAACAUUUUCAACUAAUUUAUUAUGCUAGCAAGACCUUGAAUCCGGCUCAAGAAAAUUACACCACAACUGAAAAAUAAUUAUUGGCCGUGGUCUAUGCUUUUGAUAAAUUCCGUCCUUAUCUUAUAUUGUCCAAAACCACUGUUUUUACUGACCAUUCUGCAAUUAAAUUUUUAUUUGCUAAGCAGGACGCAAAACCAAGGUUGAUCCGGUGGGUGUUAUUACUUCAAGAAUUUGACAUUGAGAUCAAGGACAAGAAAGGAAUGGAAAAUGUAGCGGCUGACCAUCUCUCAAGAUUAGAGAAUCCAGAAAGGGAUGCAUCUGACCACAAGGGUAUUGGGGAUAGUUUUCCAGAAGAGUAUUUGAUGGUGAUAAUGGGAGAAGAACCAUGGUAUGCAGAUAUUGCGAACUUUUUAGCUGGGGACUUUCUUCCAAAAGGGCUAACUCAUCAGCAGAAAAAGAAACUCAUGUCAGAAAUUAAAUAUUAUUUCUGGGAUGAGCCAUAUCUUUUUAGGAGCUGUGCAGAUGGGAUCAUCAGAAGAUGUGUGUUUCGAAAGGAGAUCCGUGACAUUCUAGAGCAUUGCCACAAUGGGCCUGUAGGAGGACAUCAUGGAGUUCAAUACACUGCCAAAAAGGUGUUUGAUGCAGGAUUCUAUUGGCCCACAAUCUUUAAGGAUGCUGCCACCUAUGUGAGAGAAUGUGACGCGUGCCAGCGAUCGGGAAAUAUUUCUGCAAAGAAUGAAAUGCCUCAAAGAAGCAUCCAAGUGUGUGAAGUCUUCGAUGUGUGGGGUAUAGAUUUCAUGGGGCCAUUUCCAUCAUCAAAAGGGCACAAAUACAUACUUGUGGCAGUGGACUAUGUAUCAAAGUGGGCUGAAGCACGAGCGCUACCAACAAAUGACGCAAGGGUGGUGGUGAAAUUUUUAAAGAAUUUAUUCUCUAGGUUUGGAGUACCAAAGGCGUUGAUAAGCGAUAGAGGGACCCAUUUUGCCAAUGAACAACUAGCAAAGGUUUUGCAAAAAUAUGGUGUACGCCAUAGAUUUUCAACACCUUAUCAUCCGCAAACGAAUGGCCAAACUGAAAUAACAAAUAGAGCCCUCAAAAGAAUUUUGGAAAGGUCGGUAGGCAACCAUAGGAAAGAUUAGGCAGAUAAGUUAGAUGAUGCAUUGUGGGCAUUUAGAACUGCAUUCAAGGCACCUAUUGGAACAACACCUCAUAGAUUGGUUUAUGGAAAAAGUUGUCAUCUACCAGUGGAGUUGGAGCACAAAGCCUAUUGGGCUUUGAAAACGUGCAAUUUUUCCCCCAAUGAGUUGCGUACCAAUCGACUCUUGCAAAUGAAUGCCUUGGAGGAAUUAAGGAACGAGUCUUACAAUAACUCGUUGAUUUAUAAGGAUAAGACAAAGAAAUGGCAUGAUGCGAGAUUGAAAGGAAAUAAUGAGUUUGAAGAAGGGCAACAAGUACUUUUAUAUAACUCAAGACUUGAACUUUUUCCAGGAAAAUUACGCACUCGUUGGACCGGACCCUUCACAAUUAAACAUGUUUUUCCAGAUGGGGUAGUUGAAUUGUGGAAUAAAGAUGGAAUAAGUUUCAAGGUAAAUGGGCAUAGGAUCAAAAGAUAUGAGGAGGGCAGGCCAAAGGAAGUGGAAAUUGAAGAAGGGCUUGAUUUAGAGGCAACCGCUGCAACGUAAGGCGGAAAGGAGUCCAGCUAAAGACUCCUAAAAAACGAAGCGCUUGCGGGAGGCAACCCGGCAAUUGAGUUUGUUUUCUUUUUCUUGUAGUAUUUUAUUUAUUCUCUUUUUAUGUUUUUCGUUGUGUUUUUAGUCUUCAUCUUCAGAUUUUGCGUAAAUGAUUGCUGGGAGGGUUAUCAAAGCUGAGUGUGGGGUGUUUUGUGAUUUUCCUUAGAAAUAAUAUUUUUUCAUACAAAAAGAAAAACUCGUCGAGUUUAUUCCAAAAACUCGACGAGUCCAUUUUAAAAAAAAUUGCGAUUUACAGUUUUUCCGAUAAAAAAAAAAAAUAAAUAAAUAAUAAUAAUAAUAAUAAUAAUAAUAAUAAUAAUAAUAAUAAUAAUAAUAAUAAUAAUAAUAAUAAUAAUAAUAAUAAUAAUAAUAAUAAUAAUAAUAAUAAUAAUAAUAAUAAUAAUAAUAAUAAUAAUAAUAAUAAUAAUAAUAAUAAUAAUAAUAAUAAUAAUAAUAAUAAUAAUAAUAAUAAUAAUAAUAAUAAUAAUAAUAAUAAUAAUAAUAAUAAUAAUAAUAAUAUUUCUUUAUUGCUGGGUAUAAGUUUUAACCCUAAAAUUAAAACCAUUCCCUCAUUUGCCCCUCACGUCGGCAGCAAGAACCUCCCAAGCAACUUAUUCACUUUUGGUGUUUUAUUCUAAAUCUCUUCUCAAGGUAAGAUGUCUUCUCCUUUUACUUAUUAAAGCUCCAAUUUUUGGUUUAUGUAGGCACAAGAUGGUUUAAAGUUCUUCAAUUUUUGAGUUUUCAUAAGAACAUUAGGGUUUCGAAUUAGGCUAAAUUAGGAUGGUUUUGCUAGUUCUUUCCAUGGAUUAACGCUUAAAUAUAUACCCCAAGCAAACCCCUGAAGUAAUUUUUGAGUUUAGAAGAGUUGGAGAUCGAAAUUAUUUUCAGACCUUCUGCGAAACUUGACGAGUUCAUGAGGCUGGGAAGCUGAUUUAUUUUAUUUUUAACAUUGUUUAUGUUUGUUUGCUUUUCUGUGAUUUAUGGUUUUGCAGAAUCAUGUCCAGAAAUAGGGGCCAAAGUUCUAAAGGAAGUCAAAGGGGUUGUCCAUGGCUUGAUUUUCCACAAAUUGGUUCAAAAUCCACAUUGUUAGCAUGGAAAAGGAAACUGGAGAAACUGAAAAAGAAGGAGUUCUACUUGCCAAAUGAAAUAGAUUGGUCUUGUCUAGAGCAAUGGGGGUUGGUUGAACGAAUGAAUCCUCAUCUCACCAAGGUAUUCAUCCAAGAUGGAGUAAGGAUUACAUGUGAUGCUUGGAGGAGACUUUUCCGAUUGCAAGAACUGGUAUACCAGGAAUUAUGUUGGGAGUUUUAUUCUACUAUCAAGUUCCGUGGGAGUGAAGACUAUUUUGAUACAAAUGUUCUUACUUUCAUGCUUGGGGGUGAGUUCCGGGAAUGUAGUGUGGUAGAACUAGCAUGGCGAAUGGAUUUGUAUGAGCAAAAUGUGGCAAUGACAGAAGCCUUUGGAAUUUUUAUGGAAGCAUGUCACAAGGAUUUACCAAAUAUUGAGGAUGCAUCAAGGUGGUGGAGCACAAUUGCCAAUGGAGAUUAUAUUCCAUCCGCGGCCCAAUAAACGAGCAUCCGAUCACCGGUCCAUUGUCUUCUUCGUCGACUCAUCGCAAGCUCCAUCAAUAUGAGAAGGGAUGAUGAUAAAGUGCCAAGCAGAGAUGUUUUCUUUUUAUGGUGUAUUCUUACACCUAACCAGUUUUGUAACAUUCCGUAUUGUUUAGCAAAGUAUUUAGCGGAAAGUGGAGUGAAGGAGAGAUCAACUUCAAAGAUAUGUGGUGGGAUGUUCAUAACUAAAUUGGCAAGAUCUUAUGGAAUUCUUGAAGGAAGAAUUGGAAAUCAAUUAACAAUGGUGUCACAACCCGCAUUUAGUCCUCUUCUUUAUAGAAGGGCUAAAAUUAUUGUAGAUUAUGGCGGGGGCCAUGUUAAUAUUCCAUCAGUGGAUGAUGCGGAAUUAUCGGAACAACCGGGGAGGCGGGUUCGUCCACGACCAACACAUAUGCAAGAAAAUCCCCCCCGUUAUUCCAAUAAAUGAUGAGCUUCCCAUGGAUCCUUAUAAUGUUGAGCAAAGGGCGUUUCAACAUGAUUUAGCAAGCAGAUUGAAUUAUGGACAUAGGAAUUUGGCUCAUAUGAUGUCUCAUUUGAACACUCCAAGGAUGGAAAAUGAACCGGAAUACCCGUAUGUGAGGAGUUGGAGUGAGAGAUGGAGUAUGCGUCAAAGUGGAGCCGGAGGAAGCGGGUUAGGAGAAGAAGAAAGUGAAGAUGAAGAUUAAUUAUCCUUUCCUUUAUCUUUUAUUUUGUUGGCUUGUUUAAACUAUUUUUCUUUGUUUUUGUUUGUUUUGUAUGUUUAUUUUGAUGUUUAAACUUCUAGUAAUUUAGGAUUUUAUUUGGUGUGUUUUCCUUUUAUUACUUUUUGUUUUUUUUUCUUUUGUUGUUCUCAGAAUAUAUGUUGAGGGAAAGAAUGACAGAAUAUAGCGUGAGGGGUAUGAAGUGAGAUCGAGUCUAAAAUGAGAAGAGUGAGAGGAUUACGUCUAUUCGCAAGAGUGGUGAACAAAAGAACUAAAAAGAUAUGUUUUACUGCAGAAGAAUGAAGGGGAAUAUUGCCAUAAUCAUUCCCUUCAAAGCCAGAAUCGAAAAAUGAAGUUGCGGAAUAUGAUGUUCACAGAAAGAAAAACUCGUCGAGUUCUUUACAUAAACUCGACGAGUUCCUUCGAAGAAUCGCAAAUCUACAGUUUUUGCAACUAAACUUAAUAAGUUCACUUUAUUCUCGGCGAGUGGAUCUUUUUCUUACCUUUGAGUUGGUGAUUUGACUACAAUUUAAGGAGGCAAUUGGCUGCGCUAUCAAUGAUUAUUUUCCGAGAAAUUUCCAACACCUUUUUCCUCUAUAUUUUGGAGCAUAACCACACGAGAUUUGAUACCCAAGGCGUGGAUGAGCUGUUCCCAUGUCCAAAGUCAGCUGAAGAAGGAGCUCAAAAGAAGAAUAUCAACCUUGCAACUUCUAUCCCAGGGGAGUCUGUUCCAAUUCUCUCUUUACUUUUAUGUUCUAUAUCAUGCAUAACAUGCAAUGGGGACAUUGCAUAAUUUAAGUGUGGGGUAGGGGGUUGAUUACAUUUAGUGAAAAAAAAUUAGAAUCCUUUGAAUCAUUGGUUUGAAAAAAAAAAUUUGCAUAAAAAUUGGUAGGGCGUAAUUUAGAAAAUUUUGGUAAAGCAAUUAGGAUUCCAUGCCAGUAUUGUAUUUGAUGAUUCUAUGAAGACCCAAAUGUUUAGUUGAGCCAACAUACGUUAUAGUGCAUUUGUGGCCCCCUUUAUUCUAGUGAAAUCAUGGGACAAAAACACAACCUCUCUUAGUUUGAGGGUCACAAAAUGUUUAGCAUCGUGUACCAGAAAUGUAUCCAGGAAAGCUUAAGUAGUCAUUGCACACUAGACUAAUGCCAUUAACCAAUAAAGGAUGAAGUUAAAUUCCCUUGCUUAAGCAUAUGUUUUUCUAGGUUUUUAGUUUUGAGUGGAAAAAGUGCGUUGAAAAAAAAAGUUGAAAAAAAAAGUGAUGAAAUGUUUGAAUAAAGAAUCUACAAAGCUGUGAAGACAAAGAAGAAUAUCAUGAAGAAAAGCUGCAAAGUAUAAAAGAUUCAAUCAAAAGUUGUAUUUGUCUUUUAUUUGUAAUUUUCUUUUCUAGGUUAUUUUAUCGUAUGUAUGCUUGGGGAUUUAACCAAAAAUGACUUGAGGUUAAGAAAGUUUUCUAGGGAUGGAUUCGGAGGGAUGCAUAAAAUGAGCGUUGUUCGAAAGAAGUGGGCGAGUGUUUAUGAGGAUUGUGAGUAUUUAGAAUUGAGGGGGGUUCUUAGGAAAAUUUUAGACACAAAUGCAUGCGUUGCGGUCUUGGCAUAAUGGCUGGGUUCGAUUGGGAUUGUCUUAUGUGGUAUUAGUGUGCUAAAAUUCGGUUUUGCUUGGGGGCAAGCAAAAGUCAAGUGUGGGGUAUUUUGAUAUGGGCUUAUUUAGUCAUAGAAAUCAUUCAUUAUCUUAUUAAUUAUUGUUGAUUUUAUAUCAUUUUAUGAACAAAAGAUACUUAAUUAGCUUAAUAUUUCAAUUUCAGCAAUAAAAGACAUGCUUGGAUGAAAAAGGAAGAGGAUUGAGUGAUUGGAAGCUUGGAGAUCAAGGAUUAAAGGAAGAAGCUAAGUAAAAGAAGAAACUCUACGAGUUUUUAGCAUAAACUCGGCGAGUUUAUUAGAAUAUUCUAGACUUAAGGAUGCCUUGCCGUACACGCUAAACGCGCGAAUUAUUAAAGAAACUCGUCGAGUUAUUCUCAAAAACUCGACGAGUUGGUAGGUACACUGCCUGCAUGUGUUUGUUUACAUUUGAGUUUGUUAGGAUUAAAACUAGUUCGUUUUACACACAUUAAGAGUAAACUCAAGAAUGGGGUCCUUUGGAACCCUAAACCCACUAGCCUUGUCCUACAACAACUUAGAUGCAAUCCUUAGGGCUAAUAACACUUAUAUAAAGUGUUUAUCAUGUUCUAGGAAGUCUUAACAUUUUCAAUUAGUAGUUUAAGACUAAUUGGGUGCAUAUAUGUGUGCUUAUAUGUUAACUAGGAUCUUUGGGUGUGUACAAGUUUUCACUUGACACUUAACAGUCCUACACCGUUCAGUUCAUUCAAACCACCAUCUACAGGUGAGUUCAUACCCCUUAAUCAAUGGUUUAAAUGUUUUUAAAUGCUUUAUGGGGGGAUACAAGUUAAAUACUUAUAGUUAUUACAUAAAUCACAUGUGAUUAAUAACUACAAAACCAGUGAUUUUCUUACUGUUCAAACUAUUUAUCAAACUAUUUUGCUUCAAACUGUUUUACUUAGAAAAUACUUAUACUUAAGCUCUUUUAUACUUAUUAUCAAAUUUCUUGCCCAGAUAUGUAUAGUUAUAUAAGUAAUGUUUGAAGGACUUAGGAAGGCUAACCCGCCUUAUUUCCUUUUCCUCGAUGGGAUGUGGUCUGGUAGGAUAUCGGGUAUCCGUCCGAAGGUCGUUUAACUAUUAGUUAUAUAUCAUGUGUACAUAUAUAGUCAUAAAGUUUCUUCCAGUCAAUUCAAUACCCUGGGUAGCAGGGGUAUACUCCCAUGUUCAUACGUACAAGUUAUAUUACUAGUAAACUACAAUAGGCGUAGUUUAGGGUUUUACUAAUACUAAUACUAGAACAAUGAAUCAUACAAAGAGUCAGUUCAUACAUGAGUCAUAACUUAUAGUGAUGAGAAACAAACAUAAUACAUAGUGAUGAGAAACAAACAUAGUACAUAGUGAUGAGAAAAAAACAUAAUACAUAGUGAUGAGAAACAAACGUACAUGCUAGACAGAGGAAGAACAAACAAUACAGCUAGCACAUACAUUACAUAUACAUUACAUUCAGUUGUGUGAGCCAUUAAAUGGGUCAUGGCACUACCUUCCAUGACCGUUUUUGUAUCCCGAAUCUCCUUAAUUGGGGAGCGUAUGAGUUUACAUAUAGAUCUAUACUGGAUUGACUAUCCUACACCUUGUUGCUCGCUACAGUGGGACUUGCAAGUCUACGGGUGCCAAAUGUCAUUUCUUACGGUGUCUUACAUCGUCGUUUUACUAUUGGUCGGUAGCAGGGUAUAGGCCGAUCACAUGGAACUUUAAAUAACAAUUGGUUUAAGGUAGUUAGUACAGUAGUAGUUGCUUAAUACAACACUACAGUACUAUAAGAUUUAUCCCAUUACAUUCACUUCGUGAACAUUCACACGAUGCACGGUAAUGUAAAAACUAUAUUUUUGGUUAAUGAUAGUCGGAUUUGGGAAAAUACACACUCUUACAAGAGACACACACAGUUACUAGAUGCCUUGGUAGAAGGCUACUCUUAGUAGGAAACAUAGGGUUUUCUAGGAUAGUUCAAACAAAUACAAACAUUACAAAACUUAUACAUUACAUCUUACAAACAUCUUAAAAAUUUCUUUCAUACAAACUCAGACACUAAUAUACUUAUGAUCUCACCAGCUUUAAAAGUUGAUACUCGCUUUCAAAAUAACUUGUAUUCUCAGGUCACCAGUAGACAGGUACCGGUUCCAGGUUUUUGAGAAGAUGGAGCUUGUUCAAGACUCCUCUUUUAUUUUGAUGUACUUUUUGGCAUCUAUUUAACUUGACAGAAUACACUUGUAUGAAAUUAUAUUAUUAAUGUAAUGGAUGAUAUUGUUGCUUGUUUACUACUUUGCAUUGUUGUGAUAUUAUACAUGACGUCCUCCACCCCCGAAUGAUUCCGCCGCUCAGGUUUUGGGGUGUGACACAAUUGAUCCGUAUAUCAAUAUUAAACUCGAAUUUAUCAUCUUUUAACGAAAUUGUGGGUCUGUAUGAGUGCUCUAGGCUUAGUAUAACCUAGAAAUGAGUCUUAAGAAGUAUUAGAAAGUGUGUAACAUAAGAAAAACGAGAAAAUCACACCAAAGUAGGUGUGUGUGGCCAGCCAGCCGCACACACACCCUCGGCCACACACCCAACCCUAUAUAUAGGAGAGGACCCCCUUUCAUUCAUUUUUUCUCCUUUGACUGCACACUACUUUCUCCCUCUACUUUCUCUCUCUAAAUCUCAUCCAAGAACACUUUAAGGGCCUCAAAUACGUGAAUAACUCCAUCAUCUAGCUUGUUAUACAGGUAAAACACCUAAAUCUAAGCCUGAAACUCUUCAUGUACUUCGUGUUCUUCAUCCUUUGAAGGAGUGUGGCUGCA